This 395-nucleotide long non-coding RNA is filed under the name Phoenix dactylifera (date palm). RNAcentral describes it as "long non-coding RNA (PDAC_LNC016586)". Lineage: Eukaryota; Viridiplantae; Streptophyta; Magnoliopsida; Arecales; Arecaceae. The record is from RNAcentral.
GAUGGAUGGCAACAUAGUGCCCAACAAAAACAAAAACAAGCCAGUCACCUGUUGGUUGAAAAAGAGCAUGACAUGUUAGCAAAGUCCAGACCGGUUCCGUACGAUUUGGGUAAAAUCACUAUCUCCCAACCCUUGUUCAGCUUGAAACAUUCAAAGCAUCACAAAAUUUCUAUCACCCGUCCCUUACGGUAGACAUGCAAAGGAAUAUGCAACUAGAUGGUGGCUAUAAAAGGCCUCGAACUCUCUCUCAACAACCACAAUAACCUUAAAACACCUUGGGCCUAUCAGAACCUUAGCUAUGUCAUCUCCAAAAUUCCUCUCCACCCUUCUUCUGUUUCUAAUCCUUUCAUUUCUUCUUGCCUUGGCAUCAGCUUCACUUGCAUCCCAAGGGAGGG